UUUACCAGCGAGUGGCGGACGGGUGAGUAACACGUAGGUAACCUGCCCCAAAGCGGGGGAUAACAUUUGGAAACAGAUGCUAAUACCGCAUAACAAUUUGAAUCGCAUGAUUCAAAUUUAAAAGAUGGUUUCGGCUAUCACUUUGGGAUGGACCUGCGGCGCAUUAGCUUGUUGGUAGGGUAACGGCCUACCAAGGCUGUGAUGCGUAGCCGAGUUGAGAGACUGAUCGGCCACAAUGGAACUGAGACACGGUCCAUACUCCUACGGGAGGCAGCAGUAGGGAAUCUUCCACAAUGGGCGCAAGCCUGAUGGAGCAACACCGCGUGAGUGAAGAAGGGUUUCGGCUCGUAAAGCUCUGUUGUUAGAGAAGAACGUGCGUGAGAGCAACUGUUCACGCAGUGACGGUAUCUAACCAGAAAGUCACGGCUAACUACGUGCCAGCAGCCGCGGUAAUACGUAGGUGGCAAGCGUUAUCCGGAUUUAUUGGGCGUAAAGCGAGCGCAGGCGGUUUGAUAAGUCUGAUGUGAAAGCCUUUGGCUUAACCAAAGAAGUGCAUCGGAAACUGUCAGACUUGAGUGCAGAAGAGGACAGUGGAACUCCAUGUGUAGCGGUGGAAUGCGUAGAUAUAUGGAAGAACACCAGUGGCGAAGGCGGCUGUCUGGUCUGCAACUGACGCUGAGGCUCGAAAGCAUGGGUAGCGAACAGGGAUUAGAUACCCUGGUAGUCCAUGCCGUAAACCAAUGAGUGCUAGGUGUUGGGAGGGUUUCCGCCC
RNAcentral lists this ribosomal RNA (772 nucleotides) under uncultured bacterium. Its description in RNAcentral is "bacterial SSU rRNA". It matches the Rfam family "Bacterial small subunit ribosomal RNA", at positions 84 to 841 of the family's 1533-position model. The record is from RNAcentral.